AUUGAACGCUGGCGGCAGGCCUAACACAUGCAAGUCGAGCGGAUGAAGGGAGCUUGCUCCUGGAUUCAGCGGCGGACGGGUGAGUAAUGCCUAGGAAUCUGCCUGGUAGUGGGGGAUAACGUCCGGAAACGGGCGCUAAUACCGCAUACGUCCUGAGGGAGAAAGUGGGGGAUCUUCGGACCUCACGCUAUCAGAUGAGCCUAGGUCGGAUUAACUAGUUGGUGGGGUAAAGGCCUACCAAGGCGACGAUCCGUAACUGGUCUGAGAGGAUGAUCAGUCACACUGGAACUGAGACACGGUCCAGACUCCUACGGGAGGCAGCAGUGGGGAAUAUUGGACAAUGGGCGAAAGCCUGAUCCAGCCAUGCCGCGUGUGUGAAGAAGGUCCUCGGAUUGUAAAGCACUUUAAGUUGGGAGGAAGGGCAGUAAGUUAAUACCUUGCUGUUUUGACGUUACCAACAGAAUAAGCACCGGCUAACUUCGUG
This 484-nucleotide ribosomal RNA is filed under the name uncultured bacterium. Its description in RNAcentral is "partial 16S ribosomal RNA". It matches the Rfam family "Bacterial small subunit ribosomal RNA", at positions 30 to 507 of the family's 1533-position model. The record is from RNAcentral.